AGUCGACGAACACUUCAUCGAUUUCUUCGGAAUGAAGUUUUAGUGACUGAGUGGCGGACGGGUGAGUAACGCGUGGGUAACCUGCCUCACACAGGGGGAUAACAGUUGGAAACGGCUGCUAAUACCGCAUAAGCGCACAGUACCGCAUGGUACGGUGUGAAAAACUCCGGUGGUGUGAGAUGGACCCGCGUCUGAUUAGCUAGUUGGCAGGGCAACGGCCUACCAAGGCGACGAUCAGUAGCCGACCUGAGAGGGUGACCGGCCACAUUGGGACUGAGACACGGCCCAAACUCCUACGGGAGGCAGCAGUGGGGAAUAUUGCACAAUGGGGGAAACCCUGAUGCAGCGACGCCGCGUGAGCGAAGAAGUAUUUCGGUAUGUAAAGCUCUAUCAGCAGGGAAGAAGAAAUGACGGUACCUGACUAAGAAGCACCGGCUAAAUACGUGCCAGCAGCCGCGGUAAUACGUAUGGUGCAAGCGUUAUCCGGAUUUACUGGGUGUAAAGGGAGCGCAGGCGGAAGGCUAAGUCUGAUGUGAAAGCCCGGGGCUCAACCCCGGUACUGCAUUGGAAACUGGUCAUCUAGAGUGUCGGAGGGGUAAGUGGAAUUCCUAGUGUAGCGGUGAAAUGCGUAGAUAUUAGGAGGAACACCAGUGGCGAAGGCGGCUUACUGGACGAUAACUGACGCUGAGGCUCGAAAGCGUGGGGAGCAAACAGGAUUAGAUACCCUGGUAGUCCACGCC
RNAcentral lists this ribosomal RNA (740 nucleotides) under uncultured bacterium. RNAcentral describes it as "bacterial SSU rRNA". It matches the Rfam family "Bacterial small subunit ribosomal RNA", at positions 60 to 801 of the family's 1533-position model. The record is from RNAcentral.